RNAcentral lists this ribosomal RNA (415 nucleotides) under Scorpaena notata (small red scorpionfish). RNAcentral describes it as "partial 12S ribosomal RNA". It matches the Rfam family "Bacterial small subunit ribosomal RNA", at positions 765 to 1382 of the family's 1533-position model. The record is from RNAcentral. Lineage: Eukaryota; Metazoa; Chordata; Actinopteri; Perciformes; Scorpaenidae.
CCCUUAAACUGGGAUUAGAUACCCCACUAUGCAUAGCCGUAAACCUUGGUAGGCCAACUACACCCCCUACCCGCCUGGAUACUACGAGCAUUAGCUUGAAAUCCGAAGGACUUGGCGGUGCUUUAGAUCCCCCUAGAGGAGCCUGUUCUAUAACCGAUAAUCCUCGUUUAACCUCACCUCUCCUUGUUCAUCCCGCCUAUAUACCGCCGUCGUCAGCUAACCCUGUGAAGGACUAAUAGUUAGCACAAUUGGCACUGCCAAAAACGUCAGGUCGAGGUGUAGCGAAUGGAGGGGGAAGAAAUGGGCUACAUUCUCUUCAACAGAGCAUACGGAUGGUGAACUGAAAAAUCACCUAAAGGUGGAUUUAGCAGUAAGUGGGAAGCAGAGUGUCCCCCUGAAGCCGGCUCUAAAGUGC